RNAcentral lists this ribosomal RNA (624 nucleotides) under Trichoderma harzianum. Its description in RNAcentral is "eukaryotic LSU rRNA". The stretch from base 238 to 391 matches the Rfam family "5.8S ribosomal RNA". Lineage: Eukaryota; Fungi; Ascomycota; Sordariomycetes; Hypocreales; Hypocreaceae. The record is from RNAcentral.
CAACCGGUCUCGUUGGUGACCAGCGGAGGGACAUUACCGAGUUUACAACUCCCAAACCCAAUGUGAACGUUACCAAACUGUUGCCUCGGCGGGAUCUCUGCCCCGGGUGCGUCGCAGCCCCGGACCAAGGCGCCCGCCGGAGGACCAACCAAAACUCUUAUUGUAUACCCCCUCGCGGGUUUUUUUAUAAUCUGAGCCUUCUCGGCGCCUCUCGUAGGCGUUUCGAAAAUGAAUCAAAACUUUCAACAACGGAUCUCUUGGUUCUGGCAUCGAUGAAGAACGCAGCGAAAUGCGAUAAGUAAUGUGAAUUGCAGAAUUCAGUGAAUCAUCGAAUCUUUGAACGCACAUUGCGCCCGCCAGUAUUCUGGCGGGCAUGCCUGUCCGAGCGUCAUUUCAACCCUCGAACCCCUCCGGGGGGUCGGCGUUGGGGAUCGGCCCUGCCUUGGCGGUGGCCGUCUCCGAAAUACAGUGGCGGUCUCGCCGCGGCCUCUCCUGCGCAGUAGUUUGCACACUCGCAUCGGGAGCGCGGCGCGUCCACAGCCGUUAAACACCCAACUUCUGAAAUGUUGACCUCGGAUCAGGUAGGAAUACCCGCUGAACUUAAGCAUAUCAAUAAGCGGAGGA